RNAcentral lists this ribosomal RNA (200 nucleotides) under uncultured bacterium. RNAcentral's name for it is "partial 16S ribosomal RNA". It matches the Rfam family "Bacterial small subunit ribosomal RNA", at positions 1301 to 1500 of the family's 1533-position model. The record is from RNAcentral.
UAGUCUGCAACUCGACUACAUGAAGCUGGAAUCGCUAGUAAUCGCGAAUCAGAAUGUCGCGGUGAAUACGUUCCCGGGUCUUGUACACACCGCCCGUCACACCAUGGGAGUCGGAAAUGCCCGAAGUCAGUGACCCAACCGAGAGGAGGGAGCUGCCGAAGGUGGAGCCGGUAACUGGGGUGAAGUCGUAACAAGGUAAC